RNAcentral lists this ribosomal RNA (433 nucleotides) under uncultured bacterium. Its description in RNAcentral is "partial 16S ribosomal RNA". It matches the Rfam family "Bacterial small subunit ribosomal RNA", at positions 29 to 507 of the family's 1533-position model. The record is from RNAcentral.
AACGAACGCUGGCGGCAGGCCUAACACAUGCAAGUCGAGCGAGCAUUUCGGUGCUAGCGGCGGACGGGUGAGUAACGCGUGGGAACGUGCCCUUUUCUGCGGAAUAGUCCUGGGAAACUGGGGGUAAUACCGCAUACGCCCUUUUGGGGAAAGAUUUAUCGGAGCAGGAUCGGCCCGCGUUGGAUUAGGUAGUUGGUGGGGUAAUGGCCCACCAAGCCGACGAUCCAUAGCUGGUUUGAGAGGAUGAUCAGCCACACUGGGACUGAGACACGGCCCAGACUCCUACGGGAGGCAGCAGUGGGGAAUCUUAGACAAUGGGGGCAACCCUGAACGAGCCAUGCCGCGUGAGUGAUGAAGGCCUUAGGGUUGUAAAGCUCUUUCAGCUGGGAAGAUAAUGACGGUACCAGCAGAAGAAGCCCCGGCUAACUCCGUG